Molecule: ribosomal RNA, 434 nt
Filed under: uncultured bacterium
Lineage: Bacteria
Description: partial 16S ribosomal RNA
Rfam family: Bacterial small subunit ribosomal RNA
Source: RNAcentral
AUGAACGCUGGCGGUAUGCUUAACCCCUGCCAGUCGAACGGACUCUUCGGAGUUAGUGGCGGACGGGUGAGUCACGCGUGAGAAUCUGGCUUUGGGUUCGGGACAACCACUGGAAACGGUGGCUAAUACCGGAUGUGCCGAGAGGUAAAAGAGAAAUUGCCUGAAGAUGAGCUCGCGUCUGAUUAGCUAGUUGGUGAGGUAAAGGCUCACCAAGGCAGCGAUCAGUAGCUGGUCUGAGAGGAUGACCAGCCACACUGGGACUGAGACACGGCCCAGACUCCUACGGGAGGCGGCAGUGGGGAAUUUUCCGCAAUGGGCGAAAGCCUGACGGAGCAAUACCGCGUGAGGGAAGAAGGCUCUUGGGUUGUAAACCUCUUUUCUUAGGGAAGAACAAAAUGACGGUACCUAAGGAAUCAGCAUCGGCUAACUCCGUG